GGGUUGUGAGGUUAAGCGACUAAGCGUACACGGUGGAUGCCCUGGCAGUCAGAGGCGAUGAAGGACGUGCUAAUCUGCGAAAAGCGUCGGUAAGGUGAUAUGAACCGUUAUAACCGGCGAUGUCCGAAUGGGGAAACCCAGUGCAAUUCGUUGCACUAUCGUUAACUGAAUACAUAGGUUAACGAGGCGAACCGGGGGAACUGAAACAUCUAAGUACCCCGAGGAAAAGAAAUCAACCGAGAUUCCCCAGUAGCGGCGAGCGAACGGGGAGCAGCCCAGAGUCUGAAUCAGCUUGUGUGUUAGUGGAACGGUCUGGAAAGUCCGACGGUACAGGGUGAUAGUCCCGUACACCAAAAUGCACAGGUUGUGAACUCGAAGAGUAGGGCGGGACACGUGGUAUCCUGUCUGAAUAUGGGGGGACCAUCCUCCAAGGCUAAAUACUCCUGACUGACCGAUAGUGAACCAGUACCGUGAGGGAAAGGCGAAAAGAACCCCGGCGAGGGGAGUGAAAAAGAACCUGAAACCGUGUACGUACAAGCAGUGGGAGCACCUUCGGGUGUGACUGCGUACCUUUUGUAUAAUGGGUCAGCGACUUAUAUUCUGUAGCAAGGUUAACCGUAUAGGGGAGCCGCAGGGAAACCGAGUCUUAACUGGGCGUUAAGUUGCAGGGUAUAGACCCGAAACCCGGUGAUCUAGCCAUGGGCAGGUUGAAGGUUGGGUAACACUAACUGGAGGACCGAACCGACUAAUGUUGAAAAAUUAGCGGAUGACUUGUGGCUGGGGGUGAAAGGCCAAUCAAACCGGGAGAUAGCUGGUUCUCCCCGAAAGCUAUUUAGGUAGCGCCUCGUGAAUUCAUCUUCGGGGGUAGAGCACUGUUUCGGCUAGGGGGUCAUCCCGACUUACCAACCCGAUGCAAACUACGAAUACCGAAGAAUGUUAUCACGGGAGACACACGGCGGGUGCUAACGUCCGUCGUGAAGAGGGAAACAACCCAGACCGCCAGCUAAGGUCCCAAAGUCAUGGUUAAGUGGGAAACGAUGUGGGAAGGCACAGACAGCCAGGAUGUUGGCUUAGAAGCAGCCAUCAUUUAAAGAAAGCGUAAUAGCUCACUGGUCGAGUCGGCCUGCGCGGAAGAUGUAACGGGGCUAAACCAUGCACCGAAGCUGCGGCAGCGACACUAUGUGUUGUUGGGUAGGGGAGCGUUCUGUAAGCCUGCGAAGGUGACCUGUGAGGGUUGCUGGAGGUAUCAGAAGUGCGAAUGCUGACAUAAGUAACGAUAAAGCGGGUGAAAAGCCCGCUCGCCGGAAGACCAAGGGUUCCUGUCCAACGUUAAUCGGGGCAGGGUGAGUCGACCCCUAAGGCGAGGCCGAAAGGCGUAGUCGAUGGGAAACAGGUUAAUAUUCCUGUACUUGGUGUUACUGCGAAGGGGGGACGGAGAAGGCUAUGUUAGCCGGGCGACGGUUGUCCCGGUUUAAGCAUGUAGGCUGGUUAUCCAGGCAAAUCCGGAUAAUCAAGGCUGAGGUGUGAUGACGAGGCACUACGGUGCUGAAGUAACAAAUGCCCUGCUUCCAGGAAAAGCCUCUAAGCAUCAGGUAACAUCAAAUCGUACCCCAAACCGACACAGGUGGUCAGGUAGAGAAUACCAAGGCGCUUGAGAGAACUCGGGUGAAGGAACUAGGCAAAAUGGUGCCGUAACUUCGGGAGAAGGCACGCUGGUGUGUAGGUGAAGCCCCUGCGGGUGGAGCUGAGACCAGUCGAAGAUACCAGCUGGCUGCAACUGUUUAUUAAAAACACAGCACUGUGCAAACACGAAAGUGGACGUAUACGGUGUGACGCCUGCCCGGUGCCGGAAGGUUAAUUGAUGGGGUUAUCCGUAAGGAGAAGCUCUUGAUCGAAGCCCCGGUAAACGGCGGCCGUAACUAUAACGGUCCUAAGGUAGCGAAAUUCCUUGUCGGGUAAGUUCCGACCUGCACGAAUGGCGUAAUGAUGGCCAGGCUGUCUCCACCCGAGACUCAGUGAAAUUGAACUCGCUGUGAAGAUGCAGUGUACCCGCGGCAAGACGGAAAGACCCCGUGAACCUUUACUAUAGCUUGACACUGAACAUUGAGCCUUGAUGUGUAGGAUAGGUGGGAGGCUUUGAAGCGUGGACGCCAGUCUGCGUGGAGCCAACCUUGAAAUACCACCCUUUAAUGUUUGAUGUUCUAACGUUGGCCCCUGACCGGGGUUGCGGACAGUGUCUGGUGGGUAGUUUGACUGGGGCGGUCUCCUCCCAAAGCGUAACGGAGGAGCACGAAGGUUAGCUAAUCCUGGUCGGACAUCAGGAGGUUAGUGCAAUGGCAUAAGCUAGCUUGACUGCGAGCGUGACGGCGCGAGCAGGUGCGAAAGCAGGUCAUAGUGAUCCGGUGGUUCUGAAUGGAAGGGCCAUCGCUCAACGGAUAAAAGGUACUCCGGGGAUAACAGGCUGAUACCGCCCAAGAGUUCAUAUCGACGGCGGUGUUUGGCACCUCGAUGUCGGCUCAUCACAUCCUGGGGCUGAAGUAGGUCCCAAGGGUAUGGCUGUUCGCCAUUUAAAGUGGUACGCGAGCUGGGUUUAGAACGUCGUGAGACAGUUCGGUCCCUAUCUGCCGUGGGCGCUGGAGAAUUGAGGGGGGCUGCUCCUAGUACGAGAGGACCGGAGUGGACGCAUCACUGGUGUUCGGGUUGUCAUGCCAAUGGCACUGCCCGGUAGCUAAAUGCGGAAGAGAUAAGUGCUGAAAGCAUCUAAGCACGAAACUUGCCCCGAGAUGAGUUCUCCCUGAGACUUUAAGUCUCCUGAAGGAACGUUAAAGACGAUGACGUUGAUAGGCCGGGUGUGUAAGCGCAGCGAUGCGUUGAGCUAACCGGUACUAAUGAACCGUGAGGCUUAACCUUACAACGCCGAAG
This 2922-nucleotide ribosomal RNA is filed under the name Klebsiella pneumoniae. Its description in RNAcentral is "23S ribosomal RNA". It matches the Rfam family "Bacterial large subunit ribosomal RNA". The record is from RNAcentral. Lineage: Bacteria; Pseudomonadati; Pseudomonadota; Gammaproteobacteria; Enterobacterales; Enterobacteriaceae.